UCAAACUUGGUCAUUUAGAGGAAGUAAAAGUCGUAACAAGGUUUCCGUAGGUGAACCUGCGGAAGGAUCAUUAGAGAUUUAGUAAAUCCUAUCACCCGUGUGCAAUCUCUGAAGUCUGAUAUCCUUGGAGAGGUCAUCCAUCGCAUGUGAACUCUCCAAGGAGGUCAUCACGAUCAAUGUAUUUUUUCCUUUUCUUUAAUAUAUGUCUAAAUCAAUAAGUAAUAAUCGAAAUAACUUUCAACAACGGAUCUCUUGGCUCUCGCAUCGAUGAAGAACGCAGC
RNAcentral lists this unclassified non-coding RNA (281 nucleotides) under uncultured fungus. RNAcentral describes it as "partial contains small subunit ribosomal RNA, internal transcribed spacer 1, and 5.8S ribosomal RNA". The stretch from base 1 to 73 matches the Rfam family "Eukaryotic small subunit ribosomal RNA", at positions 1759 to 1831 of the family's 1831-position model. The record is from RNAcentral. Lineage: Eukaryota; Fungi.